This is a long non-coding RNA of Chelonia mydas (Green sea turtle), 257 nucleotides long. RefSeq lists it as uncharacterized. NCBI's taxonomy places the organism in Eukaryota, Metazoa, Chordata, Testudines, Cheloniidae. The transcript is spliced from 3 exons. The record is from RefSeq and is a predicted model, not a curated record.
CUGCGGUCUGUGCUGUUCUGAUUCUUGGGGCUAAUGGACCACAGCUUUUACAUCAAGCUACAGUUAGAAUAGGAUGUGGAGACGGAGACACCAAUGUGGCAGAAUCACGAGUAUUAAAGAAGUAACAUCACAUGCAUGACGUCACUGAACGCAGUGAAAGCAAGAACAGUCCUAUAGAGCAACUAUUACUACAACAUUAUUUUUGAUGAUGAAAGGACCCAGGUGGGUUUUCAGUCUCCAGGCUGAGGUUGCAAGGC